This 81-nucleotide transfer RNA is filed under the name Moelleriella libera RCEF 2490. RNAcentral describes it as "Aschersonia aleyrodis RCEF 2490 tRNA". It matches the Rfam family "tRNA". From Rfam's summary of the family: Transfer RNA (tRNA) molecules are approximately 80 nucleotides in length. Their secondary structure includes four short double-helical elements and three loops (D, anti-codon, and T loops). Lineage: Eukaryota; Fungi; Ascomycota; Sordariomycetes; Hypocreales; Clavicipitaceae. The record is from Rfam by way of RNAcentral.
GGCGGAGUGCCAGAGUGGUUAUUGGGUACGACUAGAAAUCGUAUGGUUUCGGCCGCGCAGGUUCGAAUCCUGUCUCCGUCG